CACGUAGGGACCGAGCGUUGUCCGGAUUUAUUGGGCGUAAAGAGUAUGUAGGCGGCUAUUUAAGUCAGACAUGCAAGCCCACGGCUCAACCGUGGAGUUGCGUUUGAAACUAUUUAGCUUGAGUUCAGGAGAGGAAGGCGGAAUUCCCAGUGUAGCGGUGAAAUGCAUUGAUAUUGGGAAGAACACCGGUGGCGAAGGCGGCCUUCUGGUCUGAUACUGACGCUGAGAUACGAAGGCCAGGGGAGCGAACGGG
This 253-nucleotide ribosomal RNA is filed under the name uncultured bacterium. RNAcentral's name for it is "partial 16S ribosomal RNA". It matches the Rfam family "Bacterial small subunit ribosomal RNA", at positions 524 to 776 of the family's 1533-position model. The record is from RNAcentral.